AAAAAGAAAGAGAAUUAAGAAAACAGAAGAGAGAAACCACAUCUUCCAUUAACCUAUUAUUCUAGAGGGACUUGAACGGUGGAUUUGCGAUCGUGCUCGUUUGUAGUUCGAUCCACCGCGAGUUCGGAGCGUUAGAAGACCUUAAAGGACGAUCCAAGGACAUGUGAAUCAACCUCUACGAUCCGGGCUCAUUGCGUUGUAGCACGAAUCGCUUCCGCAAAAAGGUAUGAACGAAUACUUCCGUUGCGUUCUACAAAGCUAAAUCUGUUAACAUGCGGAGGUGUAGGUUUAAUUCGUUUUCUCCUAAGUCAAAUAUCAGUUCAACAUAUAUAACUUAUCUAAAAUUCUUAGAUUAUGCUCCAAAUUUAGAUUUCAUAUAAACAUACAAAUCCAUGAAUUCGAGCUACUAAACAUGAUGAUCGAACAAGAAAAUACAUGCUGACAUUGCUACGACUUAGAAGAAAUUCCGACGAUUUCGAUAAACAUUAACCCACCUCAAACGCUCGUCCAACACCGGCUAGAAGUCGAUAGGAGAAACCCCGCGCU
This 546-nucleotide long non-coding RNA is filed under the name Ananas comosus (pineapple). Its description in RNAcentral is "long non-coding RNA (ACOM_LNC019554)". The record is from RNAcentral. Lineage: Eukaryota; Viridiplantae; Streptophyta; Magnoliopsida; Poales; Bromeliaceae.